RNAcentral lists this ribosomal RNA (926 nucleotides) under Phanerodontia chrysosporium. RNAcentral describes it as "partial large subunit ribosomal RNA". It matches the Rfam family "Eukaryotic large subunit ribosomal RNA", at positions 38 to 952 of the family's 3401-position model. The record is from RNAcentral. Lineage: Eukaryota; Fungi; Basidiomycota; Agaricomycetes; Polyporales; Phanerochaetaceae.
GCAUAUCAAUAAGCGGAGGAAAAGAAACUACCAAGGAUUCCCCUAGUAACUGCGAGUGAAGCGGGAAAAGCUCAAAUUUAAAAUCUGGCAGUCUUUGGCUGUCCGAGUUGUAAUCUGGAGAAGCGUCUUCCGCGCUGGACCGUGUACAAGUCUCCUGGAACGGAGCGUCAUAGAGGGUGAGAAUCCCGUCUUUGACACGGACUACCAGUGCUCUGUGAUGCGCUCUCAAAGAGUCGAGUUGUUUGGGAAUGCAGCUCAAAAUGGGUGGUAAACUCCAUCUAAAGCUAAAUAUUGGCGAGAGACCGAUAGCGAACAAGUACCGUGAGGGAAAGAUGAAAAGCACUUUGGAAAGAGAGUUAAACAGUACGUGAAAUUGCUGAAAGGGAAACGCUUGAAGUCAGUCGCGUUUGCUAGGACUCAGCCUGGUUUCGGCCUGGUGCACUUCCUAGUAAACGGGCCAGCAUCACUUUUGGCUGCGGGAAAAAGGUUAGAGGAAUGUGGCACCCUCGGGUGUGUUAUAGCCUCUAGCUGUAUACCGUGGCUGGGAGUGAGGAACUCAGCACGCCUUCUGGCGGGGCUUCGGCCACCUUCGUGCUUAGGAUGCUGGCGUAAGGCUUUAAACGACCCGUCUUGAAACACGGACCAAGGAGUCUAACAUGCCUGCGAGUGUUUGGGUGGAAAACCCGAGCGCGUAAUGAAAGUGAUAGUUGGGACCUCUGUCGUGGAGGGCACCGACGCCCGGACCAGACCUACUGUGACGGAUCCGCGGUAGAGCAUGUAUGUUGGGACCCGAAAGAUGGUGAACUAUGCCUGAAUAGGGUGAAGCCAGAGGAAACUCUGGUGGAGGCUCGUAGCGAUUCUGACGUGCAAAUCGAUCGUCAAAUUUGGGUAUAGGGGCGAAAGACUAAUCGAACCAUCUAGUAGCU